GAUGAACGCUGGCGGCGUGCCUAAUACAUGCAAGUCGAGCGAACGGACGAGAAGCUUGCUUCUCUGGUGUUAGCGGCGGACGGGUGAGUAACACGUGGAUAACCUACCUAUAAGACUGGGAUAACUUCGGGAAACCGGAGCUAAUACCGGAUGAUAUUUUGAACCGCAUGGUUCAAAAGUGAAAGACGGUCUUGCUGUCACUUAUAGAUGGGUCCGCGCUGCAUUAGCUAGUUGGUAAGGUAACGGCUUACCAAGGCAACGAUGCAUAGCCGACCUGAGAGGGUGAUCGGCCACACUGGAACUGAGACACGGUCCAGACUCCUACGGGAGGCAGCAGUAGGGAAUCUUCCGCAAUGGGCGAAAGCCUGACGGAGCAACGCCGCGUGAGUGAUGAAGGUCUUCGGAUCGUAAAACUCUGUUAUUAGGGAAGAACAUAUGUGUAAGUAACUGUGCACAUCUUGACGGUACCUAAUCAGAAAGCCACGGCUAACUACGUG
RNAcentral lists this ribosomal RNA (497 nucleotides) under uncultured bacterium. RNAcentral's name for it is "partial 16S ribosomal RNA". It matches the Rfam family "Bacterial small subunit ribosomal RNA", at positions 28 to 507 of the family's 1533-position model. The record is from RNAcentral.